This 727-nucleotide long non-coding RNA is filed under the name Homo sapiens (human). Its description in RNAcentral is "HSALNT0300162". Lineage: Eukaryota; Metazoa; Chordata; Mammalia; Primates; Hominidae. The record is from RNAcentral.
AGCUGUCCAAUGGCUCCUGGAGCCAGAGAGAUGGCACCCAGCAUGCUGCAGUCUAGCCUCUCCCACUGACCACCUGAGCCUGCUGAAGCUGGCUUAUAUAAGGCUUUGGAAAGAGAAAGGGCUUUGGUGACUCUCUGGAAAUCAGGAAAAACUGUUCCAAGAUGUGUGUUAGAGAAGGUCAGGAUCUCGUGUUUAAUAAGCAGUUUUAGGCCUGACUUCUCUAAGGACAGUGUGUAUGGGCCUGUUUUCCCCCAGUACAUAGGGUCAGAGUCCUGCCAGCAAUAGCCAAAACAUGGUAGAAUCAGUCAAGAGAUCUAACAAAAGUGCUCUUGGAGGAAGAACUUCAGAGAAAGAAGCAAAUUUUAUGCUGAGAAAUCAUGAUUCCACACUCUGGAGUGAGAACUCUAGAUAGUUUACUCUGUGGUCACUUACUCGUAUUUCUACAUAGAUGGAAGGUCUCGGCCCUGGAGUUCUGGUCUACCUUUCUGCUCCUUUUUCUCCAAGGAACAGACCAGCUUCCGCAGGAAUGAACCCAGAAAACAGUCUACAACUAUAUUUCCAGCACAGGGGCUGGCACACACUGAGUGCUGAACUGAACUGAACAGAUGCUGUAAGCAAGAAAGAGUCAAAUUUUGCAAGAUUUUACUGAGGAGGAAGGCACUACCUCAAAGCCAGGUACUCUGCUCAGUGUGGGGACUCUAGGAGUGACAUAGACACAGAUGUUUCU